CACGUAGGCACCAAGCGUUGUCCGGAUUUAUUGGGCGUAAAGAGCUCGUAGGCGGUUCAGUAAGUCGGGUGUGAAAACUCUGGGCUUAACCCAGAGCCGCCACUCGAUACUGCUGUGACUUGAGUUCGGUAGGGGAGCAGGGAAUUCCUAGUGUAGCGGUGAAAUGCGCAGAUAUUAGGAGGAACACCGGUGGCGAAGGCGCUGCUCUGGGCCGAUACUGACGCUGAGGAGCGAAAGCGUGGGGAGCGAACAGG
Molecule: ribosomal RNA, 254 nt
Filed under: uncultured bacterium
Lineage: Bacteria
Description: partial 16S ribosomal RNA
Rfam family: Bacterial small subunit ribosomal RNA
Source: RNAcentral